GAUGAACGCUGGCGGCGUGCCUAAUACAUGCAAGUCGAGCGAACAGACGAGGAGCUUGCUCCUCUGACGUUAGCGGCGGACGGGUGAGUAACACGUGGAUAACCUACCUAUAAGACUGGGAUAACUUCGGGAAACCGGAGCUAAUACCGGAUAAUAUAUUGAACCGCAUGGUUCAAUAGUGAAAGACGGUUUUGCUGUCACUUAUAGAUGGAUCCGCGCCGCAUUAGCUAGUUGGUAAGGUAACGGCUUACCAAGGCGACGAUGCGUAGCCGAUCUGAGAGGGUGAUCGGCCACACUGGAACUGAGACACGGUCCAGACUCCUACGGGAGGCAGCAGUAGGGAAUCUUCCGCAAUGGGCGAAAGCCUGACGGAGCAACGCCGCGUGAGUGAUGAAGGUCUUCGGAUCGUAAAACUCUGUUAUUAGGGAAGAACAAAGGUGUAAGUAACCGUGCACGACUUGACGGUACCUAAACAGAAAGCCACGGCUAACUACGUG
RNAcentral lists this ribosomal RNA (497 nucleotides) under uncultured bacterium. RNAcentral describes it as "partial 16S ribosomal RNA". It matches the Rfam family "Bacterial small subunit ribosomal RNA", at positions 28 to 507 of the family's 1533-position model. The record is from RNAcentral.